AUUGAACGCUGGCGGCAGGCCUAACACAUGCAAGUCGAACGAGUGGCGGACGGGUGAGUAAUGUCUGGGAAACUGCCCGAUGGAGGGGGAUAACUACUGGAAACGGUAGCUAAUACCGCAUACCAUCGGAUGUGCCCAGAUGGGAUUAGAUAGUAGGUGGGGUAACGGCUCAACUAGGAGACGAUCCCUAGCUGGUCUGAGGGGAUGACAGUCCACACUGGAACGGAGACACGGUCCAGCCUCCUACGGUAGGCGCAGGUGGGGAAUAUGGCACAAUGGUGGCAAGCCUGAUGCAGCCAGGCCGCGGGGAUGAAGAAGGCCUUCGGGUUGUAAAGUACUUUCAGCGAGGAGGCGUUACUCGCAGAAGAAGCACCGGCUAACUCCGUGCCAGCCGCCGCGGUAAUAC
Molecule: ribosomal RNA, 406 nt
Filed under: uncultured bacterium
Lineage: Bacteria
Description: partial 16S ribosomal RNA
Rfam family: Bacterial small subunit ribosomal RNA
Source: RNAcentral